Molecule: ribosomal RNA, 464 nt
Filed under: uncultured bacterium
Lineage: Bacteria
Description: partial 16S ribosomal RNA
Rfam family: Bacterial small subunit ribosomal RNA
Source: RNAcentral
GACGAACGCUGGCGGCGUGCUUAACACAUGCAAGUCGAACGGAAAGGCCCUGCUUGCAGGGUACUCGAGUGGCGAACGGGUGAGUAACACGUGGGUGAUCUGCCCUGCACUUCGGGAUAAGCCUGGGAAACUGGGUCUAAUACCGGAUAGGAGCCACUUUUAGUGUGAUGGUUGGAAAGUUUUUUCGGUGUAGGAUGAGCUCGCGGCCUAUCAGCUUGUUGGUGGGGUAAUGGCCUACCAAGGCGGCGACGGGUAGCCGACCUGAGAGGGUGGACGGCCACAUUGGGACUGAGAUACGGCCCAGACUCCUACGGGAGGCAGCAGUGGGGAAUAUUGCACAAUGGGCGCAAGCCUGAUGCAGCGGCGCCGCGUGGGGGAUGACGGCCUUCGGGUUGUAAACUCCUUUCGCUAGGGACGAAGCUUUUGUGACGGUACCUAGAUAAGAAGCACCGGCUAACUACGUG